UUUGUACAUUGGGGGUGCCCAUUAUGGCUGAGAGGAUAACCCAACCCUUUGAACCUGAUCUCAUUCGUCUGAGCGGAGGAAAAUGUGUCUAUUGUUUU
This 98-nucleotide non-coding RNA is filed under the name Legionella tucsonensis. RNAcentral's name for it is "TPP sequence". It matches the Rfam family "TPP riboswitch aptamer (THI element)". From Rfam's summary of the family: Vitamin B(1) in its active form thiamin pyrophosphate (TPP) is an essential coenzyme that is synthesised by coupling of pyrimidine and thiazole moieties in bacteria. The record is from Rfam by way of RNAcentral. Lineage: Bacteria; Pseudomonadati; Pseudomonadota; Gammaproteobacteria; Legionellales; Legionellaceae.